GAUGAACGCUGGCGGCGUGCCUAAUACAUGCAAGUCGAGCGAACAGACGAGGAGCUUGCUCCUCUGACGUUAGCGGCGGACGGGUGAGUAACACGUGGAUAACCUACCUAUAAGACUGGGAUAACUUCGGGAGACCGGAGCUAAUACCGGAUAAUAUAUUGAACCGCAUGGUUCCAUCGUGAAAGAAGGUUUUGCUGUCACUUAUGGCUGGCUCCGCGCCGCAUUAGCUAGUUGGUAAGGUGAAGGCUUACCAAGGCAACGAUGCGUAGCCGACCUGAGAGCGUGAUCGCCUACACUGUCACUGAGACACGUCCCAGACUCCGACGGGAGGCCACAGUAGGGAAUCUUACGCAAUGGGCGAAAGCCUGAUGGAGCAACGCCGCGUGAGUGAUGAAGGUCUUCGGAUCGUAAAGCUCUGUUAGUAGGGAAGAACAAAAGUGUAAGUAACCAUGCACGUCUUGACGGUACCGAGACAAAAAGCCACGGCUAACUACGUG
This 497-nucleotide ribosomal RNA is filed under the name uncultured bacterium. RNAcentral's name for it is "partial 16S ribosomal RNA". It matches the Rfam family "Bacterial small subunit ribosomal RNA", at positions 28 to 507 of the family's 1533-position model. The record is from RNAcentral.